UGCGUAUGUCCAGUCCAUUAGUCACUGCCUGUUCCCUGCAGGUGACAGCACUAGUGACCCUUGCAGCCUGCGAUAUUGGCCACCAAGGCAUUAAAGCGUUCUUAACUUUCAUCAUCAUCGCGUGGCGGAAAUUGAAUACCGAAUAGCAGACCCGGCUAAAGCCUCUAUCAUGGGGGACAGUGAUGAUGACUACGAUCGUCGGAGAAGAGACAAGUUCCGGGGAGAAAGGAGUGAGUAUCGUGCAGCUGGAGAGUCUGGAAGAAGAGAGGAAAGAGGAAACCCUCGUAGAGAAGAGUGGAAUGACAGAGGACUUAUGGAACCCAGACGAGGAGAGUCCUGGAAUUCACAGAGAGGAUCACGUUCCCAACCACGUCAUGAAUACCGUGAAUCUUACCGUGGUCGUGAACGAUACAGCCCUGCUGGUGGUUAUGAUGCACCCCAAGUACCCAAAAGAAUGAGGCCUGACUGGGAAGAUAGGCGCUAUGGGUUUGAUGGUGGCUAUGGGCCUAACUUAGGAUCUUCCUGGGGCCAGAAUGAAGCAAUCAUCAAUACCCCACCCAGUGCCGGGAACUUUGGUGGUUCUUCGUCAAGAGGGGAGGAAUUUCCAACCCAACCACCAAUGAUGUCUUUCAAGGCCUUCCUUGCUGCCCAUGAUGACUCAAUUUCCGAUGAAGAAGCUGUAAAAAAAUAUGCUGAGUACAAGCUAGAAUUUCGCCGUCAACAGCUGAACGAAUUUUUUACAAGUCACAAAGACGAAGAGUGGUUCAAGUUGAAAUAUCACCCAGAGGAAAACCAAAAAAGGAAAAACGAGCAUCAGGCCCAUAUUGAACUUCGUGUUAAAACCAUGUUGGAUUUAAUGGGAGAGGGUUAUUUAGACCAAGUGACAAUUGACGCUGAUCAGUCAGAGAAAUUAGUUAAACUGCUUGACACGGUGGUUAUUAAACUUGAAGGCGGAUCUGAAGUGGAUCUUCAGGUACUUGAGAACCCUCCCGUACAACCAGCAGCUGAAAAGCCUAAAAGGAACCAAGAAAAAGUUGCAAGCGAGGGUGACAAUAAAGAAACAGAGGAAAUGCAAGAGGGCGAAAAUGUGAAAGAUGAUGGCGUAUUGGAAGAUUUGAAAACCGACACUAUCGAUGAUCCCAAAAACGCCGUCAAUAAUAAAGGGAGUAAAAGAAAGAGAAGUGGUUUCGAUUCCGACAGUGGUAGUGAUUGGGAACGCGAAGGCAAAGGGCAGUCCGAUGUUUCCGAAGCGCCUCAGAGCCCUGAUGGUAAGUUGGAUGGUGCAGAGGCUAGUCCAUCCCACACAACCGAAGAAACAGAGGAAAACCAAGUAAAAGAAGUUGAGAAAGAGAAGGUUGAUGAAGGCGAAGAAAAAACAGAAGAAAAAAAGGAAAACGGCGCGUCUGUGCAGCCCCGAGAGUUACACCGGACGGCUUCAAUAUUUCUUCGUAAUUUGGCACCGACCAUCACUAAAUUGGAAGUCGAAGCGAUGUGCAAACGAUAUCCAGGAUUUCUUCGUGCGGCCAUUGCCGACCCCCAGCCAGAACGCAGGUGGUUUCGACGUGGAUGGGUGACGUUUGAACGUAACGUGAAUAUUAAAGAAAUUUGCUGGAAUUUAAACAAUAUUAGGCUGCGGGACACCGAAUUGGGGGCCAUCGUGAAUCGCGAUUUAAGUCGUCGCAUACGUACUGUUAGUGGCAUAACGUCGCAUAAACAGGUUGUCAGAAAUGAUAUACGCUUGGCAGCCAAAAUCAUCCAAAAUUUGGAUGCACGUUUGGGUCUUUGGGUCGAUGAAAAUGAUAAAGCCAAAAACCCAGCUGGGGCUGAAUCGACUCUAAGCUUCUCCGGAACGAGUCGGAACCCUGUUCUUCAUAACAUUACAGACUUUUUGAUUGAAGAAGCUUCUGCCGAAGAAGAAGAGCUUUUGGGUGCAUCAGCCAACGAAGAAGGCGAAGAGGCCGAUGCAGCUGCAGGCCUCACUAGAGACGACGAGUUAAUUAAAGUCUUGGAUCGCCUACUCUUCUAUUUGCGCAUCGUUCAUUCGGUCGACUAUUACAACCACUGUGAAUAUCCGAACGAGGAUGAGAUGCCAAACCGUUGUGGCAUAAUGCACGCACGCGGAAUUCCACCAUCAUCCAAAGUCACCCAGAGUGAAAUUAAUGACUACUGUAGGUCUUUUGAAAGUAAAAUUGCUUCAUUCCUGGAACCUAUAAAACGCCUAAGCGAUGAAGAAGCGAGCAAGCUGGGAUUGAAAGAAUCUAAAGCUGAAGUCGAGAAAUUCGUCGCUGCUAACACUCAGGAACUUGCCAAGGACAAGUGGCUGUGUCCUCUCUCAGGAAAGAAGUUUAAGGGUCCUGAUUUCGUACGCAAACAUGUAUUCAACAAACAUGCCGAGAAGGUUGAUGAGGUACGGAAGGAUGUAGAAUACUUCAACAACUACCUGCGUGAUCCGAAAAGGCCUCAGCUGCCUGAGCAUCCCGGAAACCGAGCUGCGGGAGUUAGACCUUCACCGAUAAAUGAAUCCCAAAGGGGCGACCAUUUCGGUCCACCCGGAGGUUUUGGGUAUGGUAAUUUUAACUAUGGCGGUGGAAGAGGAGGUUUCGGUGGAGGUGGUUUCGGAGGACCUAAUAAUUUUGGUAACGUUGGAGGAGGAGGAGGCAGAGAUUUCGGCUUUGCUGGUCGAAAUAAUCGAGGAGGAAGAGGCCGUGGGCCCCAACAGUCCUCGUAUGAAGGUCGGACAAUAAUUGGCUAUGAUGACGUUGAUACUCCAGCUGACUUCGACGUCUUCUAAUAAAGAACAAGCUACCCCCCAAACGUUGUUUUCUUUGCUUUCGUUUGAAUACCAGAAACUGUUGCUUUCCUUCCCUUUUAAGCGUGGUGGUCUCCGUCAUAUGUCACACUAUCGGGAUCUCGAUCGACCCAACGAUGAAGAAUUUUGAACCUACAUAUUUCGUAUGUCGACACUGCAUAGGUGUAUCGUUUAACUUGAUCCCUUGAUUUUAUCUGACCAACACCUCCCUUGCUGUCUUCACUUUUAGUUGGAAAGUUUGUGGAUUCAUGUUUGCAAUGAUGCACGUUCAUUUCUUUCAUUUUGUCAUUCAGUCGUCAGUUCUCAAAUGCGCUGGUUUUUUCCUUUGUAUUACAACAUAAACCGGAACUUAAAGAAGUC
RNA transcript from Daphnia magna, 3169 nucleotides. It is a transcript of the gene named serrate RNA effector molecule homolog, with no coding region annotated. NCBI's taxonomy places the organism in Eukaryota, Metazoa, Arthropoda, Branchiopoda, Diplostraca, Daphniidae. The record is from RefSeq and is a predicted model, not a curated record. The transcript is spliced from 16 exons.